This 454-nucleotide ribosomal RNA is filed under the name uncultured bacterium. RNAcentral's name for it is "bacterial SSU rRNA". It matches the Rfam family "Bacterial small subunit ribosomal RNA", at positions 335 to 803 of the family's 1533-position model. The record is from RNAcentral.
ACUCCUACGGGAGGCAGCAGUGGGGAAUAUUGCACAAUGGGCGCAAGCCUGAUGCAGCGACGCCGCGUGGGGGAUGACGGCCUUCGGGUUGUAAACUCCUUUCGCUAGGGACGAAGCUUUUUGUGACGGUACCUAGAUAAGAAGCACCGGCUAACUACGUGCCAGCAGCCGCGUAAUACGUAGGGUGCGAGCGUUGUCCGGAAUUACUGGGCGUAAAGGGCUCGUAGGUGGUUUGUCGCGUCGUCUGUGAAAUUCCGGGGCUUAACUCCGGGCGUGCAGGCGAUACGGGCAUAACUUGAGUACUGUAGGGGUAACUGGAAUUCCUGGUGUAGCGGUGAAAUGCGCAGAUAUCAGGAGGAACACCGAUGGCGAAGGCAGGUUACUGGGCAGUUACUGACGCUGAGGAGCGAAAGCAUGGGUAGCGAACAGGAUUAGAUACCCUGGUAGGCGUAGU